RNAcentral lists this ribosomal RNA (445 nucleotides) under Staphylococcus aureus. RNAcentral describes it as "partial 23S ribosomal RNA". It matches the Rfam family "Bacterial large subunit ribosomal RNA", at positions 457 to 905 of the family's 2925-position model. Lineage: Bacteria; Bacillati; Bacillota; Bacilli; Caryophanales; Staphylococcaceae. The record is from RNAcentral.
CUCCUAAGGCUAAAUACUCUCUAGUGACCGAUAGUGAACCAGUACCGUGAGGGAAAGGUGAAAAGCACCCCGGAAGGGGAGUGAAAUAGAACCUGAAACCGUGUGCUUACAAGUAGUCAGAGCCCGUUAAUGGGUGAUGGCGUGCCUUUUGUAGAAUGAACCGGCGAGUUACGAUUUGAUGCAAGGUUAAGCAGUAAAUGUGGAGCCGUAGCGAAAGCGAGUCUGAAUAGGGCGUUUAGUAUUUGGUCGUAGACCCGAAACCAGGUGAUCUACCCUUGGUCAGGUUGAAGUUCAGGUAACACUGAAUGGAGGACCGAACCGACUUACGUUGAAAAGUGAGCGGAUGAACUGAGGGUAGCGGAGAAAUUCCAAUCGAACCUGGAGAUAGCUGGUUCUCUCCGAAAUAGCUUUAGGGCUAGCCUCAAGUGAUGAUUAUUGGAGGUAG